RNAcentral lists this ribosomal RNA (468 nucleotides) under uncultured bacterium. Its description in RNAcentral is "partial 16S ribosomal RNA". It matches the Rfam family "Bacterial small subunit ribosomal RNA", at positions 28 to 507 of the family's 1533-position model. The record is from RNAcentral.
GACGAACGCUGGCGGCGUGCUUAACACAUGCAAGUCGAACGGAAAGGCCCUGCUUUUGUGGGGUGCUCGAGUGGCGAACGGGUGAGUAACACGUGAGUAACCUGCCCUUGACUUUGGGAUAACUUCAGGAAACUGGGGCUAAUACCGGAUAGGAGCUCCUGCUGCAUGGUGGGGGUUGGAAAGUUUCGGCGGUUGGGGAUGGACUCGCGGCUUAUCAGCUUGUUGGUGGGGUAGUGGCUUACCAAGGCUUUGACGGGUAGCCGGCCUGAGAGGGUGACCGGCCACCUUGGGACUGAGGUACGGCCCAGACUCCUACGGGAGGCAGCAGUGGGGAAUAUUGCACAAUGGGCGGAAGCCUGAUGCAGCAACGCUGCGUGCGGGAUGACGGCCUUCGGGUUGUAAACCGCUUUCGCCUGUGACGAAGCGUGAGUGACGGUAAUGGGUAAAGAAGCACCGGCUAACUACGUG